UUUAUCAGCCUUUUUGUAGAGAUAUUAACUAUAAAGAGAAAACUCUCUUUCUGAAUUUUGGCAGUUUUCUUGCUGUAACGGUUGGAUAGGUAGGAGAAUCUGAUCUCUAUGCUUUUUUUGUCUUUUUACUCACUAUAUUUCGCUGUAUUUCUUCAUUUUUUAUUUUCCUGUUCAGGCUUUGGUUUCUCAAAAAGAUUUAGGAUGAGAUGAAGUGAAUUGUAACAGAAGUAUGUAGGAAUAUAUCAGAAAUAUUAUUAGAUUGCUUCAAGGUUUGCUAAUUUUACAAUGUUGAUUACUGUCCGAAAGAGCUUCCAGUACAAGUUGAUUUGUUAUACUGACUGGAUGCCUAAAAACUAUAGUCUAGUAUGCAAAUGGAGAUACUCCUGCACCAAGGGAAUCAUGAGUAGAGCUUACUGCCGAUCAAGGCUGGUGCUAAAUGAUCUUCAAAGCAAUGAAAUUUGGAGGUAUGGUAACAAUCCAAGUGCAGUUUCCUAUGGUGUUAUGAAUUAUGCGGGCAACUUUGUGCUUGAAGUAAUGGAUCUUAUGACUUACGUGACAACUUCAGUCAUCCUUCAAAUACCUUGCCAGCGGCACAAACAAUGGAUACUGAAGGAGAACUUUUUUUUCUAAGCAAACUGAGCUGUUUCAGCUACAUUAUUUUGAUGAUGGAAAUCUUGUCCUAAUGCUGUUGAUGAGGAUAGGAAAUUGCCAUAUGCUGACUUUGAAACUUGAACUCAAUGAUAGUAAUUCAUCAAAUUUUGUUGUUUGAGUGAUCUUCAAUGAGUCAGACUACAUGUACAAAUUGAGAAUAUUGGCCAAAGGUUUGAUCUCAUUGUUGUAAAGCCAACUCCAACAUCAAAUUUCUAUCAUAGAGCAGUACUCAA
Long non-coding RNA from Mangifera indica (mango), 884 nucleotides. RefSeq lists it as uncharacterized. Lineage: Eukaryota; Viridiplantae; Streptophyta; Magnoliopsida; Sapindales; Anacardiaceae. The record is from RefSeq and is a predicted model, not a curated record. The transcript has 2 exons.